GACGAACGCUGGCGGCGUGCUUAACACAUGCAAGUCGAACGGAAAGGCCCUGCUUUUGUGGGGUGCUCGAGUGGCGAACGGGUGAGUAACACGUGAGUAACCUGCCCUUGACUUUGGGAUAACUUCAGGAAACUGGGGCUAAUACCGGAUAGGAGCGCCUGCUGCAUGGUGGGGGUUGGAAAGUUUCGGCGGUUGGGGAUGGACUCGCGGCUUAUCAGCUUGUUGGUGGGGUAGUGGCUUACCAAGGCUUUGACGGGUAGCCGGCCUGAGAGGGUGACCGGCGACAUUGGGACUGAGAUACGGACCAGACUCCUACGGGAGGCAGCAGUGGGGAAUAUUGCACAAUGGGCGGAAGCCUGAUGCAGCAACGCCGCGUGCGGGAUGACGGCCUUCGGGUUGUAAACCGCUUUCGCCUGUGACGAAGCGUGAGUGACGGUAAUGGGUAAAGAAGCACCGGCUAACUACGUG
This 468-nucleotide ribosomal RNA is filed under the name uncultured bacterium. RNAcentral describes it as "partial 16S ribosomal RNA". It matches the Rfam family "Bacterial small subunit ribosomal RNA", at positions 28 to 507 of the family's 1533-position model. The record is from RNAcentral.